This 1009-nucleotide unclassified non-coding RNA is filed under the name Helicoverpa zea (corn earworm). Its description in RNAcentral is "transcription factor hamlet-like, transcript variant X1". Lineage: Eukaryota; Metazoa; Arthropoda; Insecta; Lepidoptera; Noctuidae. The record is from RNAcentral.
GACUCUCAAGUUCUGUUGUUGUCGCGCGCCGCGCCGCUCGCGCUGAUAACGCGAUGCCACGCCGACCUGCGCACGCGCACACUAACGCUCCGCAGCUUUAAGCUCGCGCGGACUAUUAAAAAAAAAUAUUUUAACCCCCCAGUGAUGGAAUGGAUAUUUUUUAUGGACAAGUGCAAAGUUGAUCGCGAAUAAGCUUUUUUUUGUAUUUCAUUCUGUGUGUUUUUUUACUGUUUGAACCAAUAAGUGUUAAUGAGAAAGUGAAACCGAUACUCUGUGUAAUUAUAAUAUUCUGAACGGAAGGAUAUUUUUAAUUGAACUCUUUAAGUAAUUAUUUUUGGUGAUAUUGUAAGAGAGAAACUGAAACAAUAUUAAAAGGAUCAUCUGAAGUUUUUGACUUUUCUGCUGUAACAGUGUACCAUUACCGCCGCCAAGCUGACUACCGCAAAUGAGAUUAUACCCAGUUACCACGUCGAAGCGCUAAUAGUGUGGAGAAAGAAGCACCGCCCAGCAAAGAUGUGGAGAUGGAGCAGCAUGAUGAGGAGCAGCAUGCGGAGCAGACUGUGGAACUGCUGGCGAUUGGAUCGGAAGUAGAAUAUAAGUCUGGUGAGACCGGUCCAAAUAUUAAUGUGUUGAUUGCUCAACAGGAGUUCAGGGCGUUAGUCGACACAGGAGCGUCGAUUUCCUGUUUAUCUGAGGCGUUCAUUUCAGAACUCAACAUUAAAUACACCAAGAACAGUUCUUAUGAAGCUUCUUCAGUCUCUGGUGCGCAGUUGCAUGUACUGGGCGAAACAUACAUAAAUUUUUUGAUAAAUUCGUGUUUUUUCAGCCACAAAUUUUUAAUUAUCAAAAACAUUAAUCAAAAUUUAAUUCUUGGUAGAGAUUUUCUUUGUAAAAAUAAUUGUUUGAUAGAUUUUUCCAAAAAUCAUUUAAUUUUGAAAACGAGGUUUAUUGUCAAGUUUAUUAAUACUGGCACUUUAGAAAAUGAUAGGUCAGAGUCAAAUAUAAUGAC